Etheostoma cragini (Arkansas darter) is the source of this 135-nucleotide long non-coding RNA. RefSeq lists it as uncharacterized. The transcript is spliced from 3 exons. The record is from RefSeq and is a predicted model, not a curated record. Lineage: Eukaryota; Metazoa; Chordata; Actinopteri; Perciformes; Percidae.
GUUAAAUAAAGCAACGGCGCCUCUUACUGAGCUCCGUGGCUGGAACACAACGAGCGCCUGGAAGUACGGUGGCCGCUACGGAAACCACAACUUUCGCGUGUUAAAUUUGAAACGAAUGUGAUCUGAUUCAAAACU